Long non-coding RNA from Zingiber officinale, 1318 nucleotides. RefSeq lists it as uncharacterized. The transcript has 3 exons. Lineage: Eukaryota; Viridiplantae; Streptophyta; Magnoliopsida; Zingiberales; Zingiberaceae. The record is from RefSeq and is a predicted model, not a curated record.
UCACUGGAAUAUGCUACGAAACUUUGCUGGCAUCUAUUAUGAACAAAGUCAACUUGACAUGGCAAUUCUGCAUUACAAGCAAGCUAUCAACUGUGAUUCUACCUUUAUUGAAGCUUACAAUAAUCUGGGGAAUGCUCUCAAAGACGUUGAACAUCCUCUCAAAGACGCUGGACAUUAUAGGGUGACUUUUUAAUUUGGAUAUUUUUAUUCUCUUAAGUUUUUUUUCCUUGUUGAAUAACUUCAUUUUAAUAAAUUUUCCCAAGUCAUGCUUUGCUUUACAACCUAACCAUCCACAAGCAUUGUCAAAAGAAGUAAGUUGUGUAGUCAUAUAAGUUGAUUGAAAAGAAAGCAUUGAAGACAAAAAGCCAAACUCUUUUCCCAUGAAAAUUUCAACCAAUAUGGGAAUUAAGCUCUUCCAGUUCGGGAUUGAAGCCUGCAAGGUGAGUUGCUAAUGCCCCCUGUUCCCAGUGCCUCUAGUUUGUGUACAUUAUUUUGGAUGCACUUGUAUUGUUUGAUUAAUUGUCGCUUAGAGCACAGUGACAUUGGUCUUUGUUUGAUCUUUUCUAGAAUGCUUUGUUCAUAGUUACGUAUUUCUUUGUCACUUGAGAGAUUAGUUACAUCAGCUAUGGUCUAAGUUUAUUCCUUGUUAUCAGAUUACCAGUCGACUCCAAUUUAUUUAACUGGUUGUGUUGAUGUUACUAUAAUUGUUGACAAGGUCUUGGAGUUGAGUCCCAUCUUUACCUGUUGAUUAUAUAAUAACUCUAAGCUAACCACUUGAUAACACUCGAAUUUGCUGUUUGCGCGACAUCUAACAUUGAGCUCCAAUUGCCUGGUUCUGCUGAUGAUGUUUCAUCAUCCAAGGUACGCGUUCGACUUUAAAGUACUAACUUAAUGCAAUGGCUUGUUUUGCAUCCUUCUCUUGAUCAAUGGAACAAUUUUGUAGGAUAUCUAUCACUAUGCAUUUUGGUCAAAACAUUGCGUCUUAUCUAAUCUUGUUCACAUGGAUUUUAUAUUCAGAAUUCAGCUAUUGUGAGGAUGACAGUUCUACUUAUAUUAAUACCAAUUGCUCUGAGUUCUUACUUCUGAUUUCUGAAUACUGUAGAAUAUUUGUUAUAUUCAGUAGUCAAAUCUAAUCCUAAAUCAACAUUCAUCAGAGAAUUUUUAGUAGAAUUUAGAGUAUUCUCUCUCUUUCUCUCUUCCUUCUGCAAAUUAUAAGAAGAAUAUAAGUUUCUUUUCAAUCAACUUAUAAGAGUUUGGUAUGCUUUAAUAAUAGCUUUGUUCUUCUAUGCUUUCUUCACUGGAUUUGUUGUGUAGUCAU